UCCAGACUCCUACGGGAGGCAGCAGUGGGGGAUAUUGCACAAUGGGGGAAACCCUGAUGCAGCGACGCCGCGUGUGGGAAGACGGUCUUCUGGAUUGUAAACCACUGUCCCCAGGGACGAAAAUGACGGUACCUGGGGAGGAAGCUCCGGCUAACUACGUGCCAGCAGCCGCGGUAAUACGUAGGGAGCAAGCGUUGUUCGGAAUUACUGGGUGUAAAGGGAGCGCAGGCGGCACGGCAAGCCUGAUGUGAAAGCCCGCGGCCCAACCGCGGGACUGCAUUGGGAACUACCGGGCUGGAGUGCCGGAGAGGUAGGCGGAAUUCCUAGUGUAGCGGUGAAAUGCGUAGAUAUUAGGAGGAACACCAGUGGCGAAGGCGGCCUACUGGACGGUGACUGACGCUGAGGCUCGAAAGCGUGGGGAGCAAACAGGAUUAGAUACCCCGGUA
Molecule: ribosomal RNA, 446 nt
Filed under: uncultured bacterium
Lineage: Bacteria
Description: partial 16S ribosomal RNA
Rfam family: Bacterial small subunit ribosomal RNA
Source: RNAcentral